AAAUUGAAGAGUUUGAUCAUGGCUCAGAUUGAACGCUGGCGGCAGGCCUAACACAUGCAAGUCGAACGGUAGCACAGAGAGCUUGCUCUCGGGUGACGAGUGGCGGACGGGUGAGUAAUGUCUGGGAAACUGCCCGAUGGAGGGGGAUAACUACUGGAAACGGUAGCUAAUACCGCAUAACGUCGCAAGACCAAAGUGGGGGACCUUCGGGCCUCACACCAUCGGAUGUGCCCAGAUGGGAUUAGCUAGUAGGUGGGGUAAUGGCUCACCUAGGCGACGAUCCCUAGCUGGUCUGAGAGGAUGACCAGCCACACUGGAACUGAGACACGGUCCAGACUCCUACGGGAGGCAGCAGUGGGGAAUAUUGCACAAUGGGCGCAAGCCUGAUGCAGCCAUGCCGCGUGUAUGAAGAAGGCCUUCGGGUUGUAAAGUACUUUCAGCGGGGAGGAAGGCGGUGAAGUUAAUAGCUUC
RNAcentral lists this ribosomal RNA (471 nucleotides) under Pantoea sp. DY-5. RNAcentral describes it as "bacterial SSU rRNA". It matches the Rfam family "Bacterial small subunit ribosomal RNA", at positions 1 to 470 of the family's 1533-position model. Lineage: Bacteria; Pseudomonadati; Pseudomonadota; Gammaproteobacteria; Enterobacterales; Erwiniaceae. RNAcentral also lists the same sequence under 1 other name. The record is from RNAcentral.